This 736-nucleotide ribosomal RNA is filed under the name Jeotgalibacillus marinus. RNAcentral describes it as "bacterial SSU rRNA". It matches the Rfam family "Bacterial small subunit ribosomal RNA", at positions 56 to 775 of the family's 1533-position model. The record is from RNAcentral. Lineage: Bacteria; Bacillati; Bacillota; Bacilli; Caryophanales; Caryophanaceae.
UGCAGUCGAGCGGAGUUAGAGAAGCUUGCUUCUCUAACUUAGCGGCGGACGGGUGAGUAACACGUGGGCAAUCUGCCCGUAAGACUGGGAUAACUCCGGGAAACCGGGGCUAAUACCGGAUAACACUGACUCUCUCCUGAGAGUCAGUUGAAAGAUGGUUUCGGCUAUCACUUACGGAUGAGCCCGCGGCGCAUUAGCUAGUUGGUGAGGUAACGGCUCACCAAGGCGACGAUGCGUAGCCGACCUGAGAGGGUGAUCGGCCACACUGGGACUGAGACACGGCCCAGACUCCUACGGGAGGCAGCAGUAGGGAAUCUUCCGCAAUGGACGAAAGUCUGACGGAGCAACGCCGCGUGAGUGAAGAAGGUUUUCGGAUCGUAAAACUCUGUUGUUAGGGAAGAACACGUACGAGAGUAACUGCUCGUACCUUGACGGUACCUAACCAGAAAGCCACGGCUAACUACGUGCCAGCAGCCGCGGUAAUACGUAGGUGGCAAGCGUUGUCCGGAAUUAUUGGGCGUAAAGCGCGCGCAGGUGGUUCCUUAAGUCUGAUGUGAAAGCCCCCGGCUCAACCGGGGAGGGUCAUUGGAAACUGGGGAACUUGAGUGCAGGAGAGGAAAGUGGAAUUCCACGUGUAGCGGUGAAAUGCGUAGAUAUGUGGAGGAACACCAGUGGCGAAGGCGACUUUCUGGCCUGUAACUGACACUGAGGCGCGAAAAGCGUGGGGAGCAAACAG